Molecule: ribosomal RNA, 468 nt
Filed under: uncultured bacterium
Lineage: Bacteria
Description: bacterial SSU rRNA
Rfam family: Bacterial small subunit ribosomal RNA
Source: RNAcentral
CAAGCCGAACGGCAGCACGGGAGCAAUCCUGGUGGCGAGUGGCGAACGGGUGAGUAAUAUAUCGGAACGUGCCCAGUCGUGGGGGAUAACGCAGCGAAAGCUGUGCUAAUACCGCAUACGAUCUACGGAUGAAAGCGGGGGAUCGCAAGACCUCGCGCGAUUGGAGCGGCCGAUAUCAGAUUAGCUAGUUGGUGAGGUAAAGGCUCACCAAGGCGACGAUCUGUAGCUGGUCUGAGAGGACGACCAGCCACACUGGAACUGAGACACGGUCCAGACUCCUACGGGAGGCAGCAGUGGGGAAUUUUGGACAAUGGGCGCAAGCCUGAUCCAGCAAUGCCGCGUGCAGGAUGAAGGCCUUCGGGUUGUAAACUGCUUUUGUACGGAACGAAACGGUCCUUUCUAAUACAAGGGGCUAAUGACGGUACCGUAAGAAUAAGCACCGGCUAACUACGUGCCAGCAGCCGCGGU